Molecule: ribosomal RNA, 460 nt
Filed under: uncultured bacterium
Lineage: Bacteria
Description: partial 16S ribosomal RNA
Rfam family: Bacterial small subunit ribosomal RNA
Source: RNAcentral
CCUACGGGGGACAGCAGUGAGGAAUAUUGGUCAAUGGACGAGAGUCUGAACCAGCCAAGUAGCGUGAAGGAUGACUGCCCUAUGGGUUGUAAACUUCUUUUAUAAAGGAAUAAAACGAGGCACGUGUGCCUUUUUGCAUGUACUUUAUGAAUAAGGAUCGGCUAACUCCGUGCCAGCAGCCGCGGUAAUACGGAGGAUCCGAGCGUUAUCCGGAUUUAUUUGGUUUAAAGGGAGCGUAGAUGGGUUGUUAAGUCAGUUGUGAAAGUUUGCGGCUCAACCGUAAAAUUGCCAUUGAUACUGGCAGUCUUGAGUACAGUUGAGGUAGGCGGAAUUCGUGGUGUAGCGGUGAAAUGCUUAGAUAUCACGAAGAACCCCGAUUGCGAAGGCAGCUUACUAAACUGUGACUGACAUUGAUGCUCGAAAGUGUGGGUAUCAAACAGGAUUAGAUACCCCAGUAGUC